Molecule: long non-coding RNA, 268 nt
Organism: Pipistrellus kuhlii (Kuhl's pipistrelle)
Lineage: Eukaryota; Metazoa; Chordata; Mammalia; Chiroptera; Vespertilionidae
Exons: 3
Source: RefSeq, a predicted model, not a curated record
AUGCUCUUCAGCUCUAGAAGAUAGAAGAUAAUAAUACACUUGUGUUCAUUGUGGAUGUCAAGGCCAACAAGCACCAGAUCUAACAGGCUGUGAAGAAGCUCUAUGACAUUGAUGUGGCCAAGGUCAACACCCUGAUCAGGCCUGAUGGCAAGAAGAAGGCAUAUGUUCAACUGGCUCUUGACUAUGAGGUUUUGGAUGUUGCCAACAAAAUUGGAAUUAUCUAAACUGAGUUCAGCUGCCUAAUUCUAAAUAUAAAAAUUUUACACUG